ACGGGAGGCAGCAGUGAGGAAUAUUGGUCAAUGGAGGCAACUCUGAACCAGCCAUCUCGCGUGAAGGAAUACGGCCCUACGGGUCUUAAACUUCUUUUAUAGGGGGAUAAAGUGACCUACGUGUAGGUUUUUGCAUGUACCGUAAGAAUAAGGACCGGCUAAUUCCGUGCCAGCAGCCGCGGUAAUACGGAAGGUCCGGGCGUUAUCCGGAUUUAUUGGGUUUAAAGGGAGCGUAGGCCGUGCUUUAAGCGUGUUGUGAAAUGUAGGCGCCCAACGUCUGCACUGCAGCGCGAACUGGAGCACUUGAGUACGCAGGAAGUAGGCGGAAUUCGUCGUGUAGCGGUGAAAUGCUUAGAUAUGACGAAGAACUCCGAUUGGGAAGCCAGCUUACUGUAGCGCCACUGACGCUGAUGCUCGAAAGCGUGGGUAUCGAACAGGAUUAGAUACCCUGGUA
Molecule: ribosomal RNA, 454 nt
Filed under: uncultured Prevotella sp.
Lineage: Bacteria; Pseudomonadati; Bacteroidota; Bacteroidia; Bacteroidales; Prevotellaceae
Description: partial 16S ribosomal RNA
Rfam family: Bacterial small subunit ribosomal RNA
Source: RNAcentral